This 327-nucleotide ribosomal RNA is filed under the name uncultured eukaryote. RNAcentral's name for it is "partial 18S ribosomal RNA". It matches the Rfam family "Eukaryotic small subunit ribosomal RNA", at positions 1470 to 1796 of the family's 1831-position model. The record is from RNAcentral.
CCCUUAGAUGUUCUGGGCCGCACGCGCGCUACACUGAUUCAUGCAACAAGUUUUGUCCUUGGCUGAUAGGCCUGGGUAAUCUUUGAACGUGAAUCGUGAUGGGGAUAGAUGAUUGCAAUUAUUCAUCUUCAACGAGGAAUUCCUAGUAAACGCAAGUCAUCAGCUUGCAUUGAUUACGUCCCUGCCCUUUGUACACAUCGCCCGUCGCACCUACCGAUUGAAUGGUCCGGUGAAAUCUUCGGAUCUGAGAGAUGUCUGAUUAAUUUCGGACGCCUUUUGGAAAAGUUGUUUAAACCUUACCAUUUAGAGGAAGGUGAAGUCGUAACA